AUUUCUCUUUAAUUCCGCUGGGAGAAAGAAACGUCAACGUAAAAUCGAAGUUAUCGUUCAAUAUCUUAAAUCUAGGUUCCGCUUUUCGUUCUUUUCCCAUUUCAACCACAGAAGUCUUUUACAAAUAAGCAGGGGGGGGGGGAUCCAGGCAAAGACAACAGCGAUAACUAAUUGUUACUCGCUUGGGUUUACAAACGCAUUGUCACCGGAUUACUUCUGGUAGAUUACGUAACAAUCUACCAUGAUUUUAACAGGGAACGCGAAAUAUUUCAAAAUUACGAAAGCAGUGUGUCUAUUGGAAGUUUCUUUGAGGAUGUUCGAUUGGUAAUCUAGAACGGAUGGCCUGUUAAAUAGCGCGGAUUCUAAUAGAUUCUAUUGUCUUUUAACUGUUGAGGUUUCUGUCGCACUUUCAAUGAAGGACUGCAAUUGCUAAAAUUGCAUCUUUUCAUAAUAAGUAAGCAUAGCGUCCUGCUCAAACAUUCUCUGAAUAUUUAUCUGAGUCCUUCAUGCAAAUAUAUGACUCAGGCACCCUAUGGUUUUAGGCUGUUUUAGUUGUAGCGACUUGCAACAUAUAGAAAGUAUGUUUGUAGGAUGUUUCCAUGCUCAUAUUGUAUGUUUUGCAUGCUUAAUAAAUUAUUUUGUAAAAUUCAUACUCGGGUACCCUGUGGCACUGGUUUCUGCUUCUUUUUCAAAACCUUGCCUAGCUAAUGGCUAUAGAAGCCCUUCCUUGAGCAGUAGAGGGGGUCUAAAUCAACUUUGUACCAAGUACUUCAAAUUUUAAUCAGUCAAUCUUUUAUUACAAAAUAUUCAAAUUAGCAGGAUACUGUCUACAACAUUAUUUUCCAUGGACUUUACUUAUAUCAUUUAGAAUCAAAUACCUAUAUAAACGAAGUUGUAGUUGUACUUGAAAAACAUGAUAUUAUUUACAGAUGCAUUAAAUUCAAACUAGACAAUUAUGAUUCAAAAUACAGUUUAUAAUACAGCUGUUCUCUUUCUUUUUGAGAAAAUAUUUAUUGCCCUGCCAAAAUAAGAAUGCAAUUUGACAAUAUGCAGUUUAAAAGUUAAAUAAGAGUGUAAGCUUAAGUAGUUAUUAAGAUAUAAGUUAAAUCACAAGAAUUCUUUUGUAAACUUUAUUUCGCUUCUUAUUUCAGACACAUUUUUUAAACGCCAUCUAUCUCAAAAAAACAUAGCUAGGAAUGUUGUCACGUCCAUCAAAUAUUAGAGAGACCCAAAAAUUUAUUUUCAAAGCUAAGCGCUUUUGUUGUGCGAAUGGGAGGUUUGGAAUGUGAAAAUGGCUGGAUUAGACGAGCGAGUUUUAAUGCUCAAAAUGUAUCGUUUUGCUUAUUUAUUGAAGGUAGGAUGUUCCUGGUACUCUAAUGCAAAGAUACAAAGAUAAAUAAAUCUGUCAUCUUUACCGGUUCUACAUUAUUUUAUGGCUACUUGCUCCAAGGCACGCCAUGCAUCGUGAUAAAAACCCCUCUGAAAAUCUUAUCGAUUUUUGCCACUAAAAAUAAAAUAAAAUUUUGAGCUUUUUGCUAAAGACGAAUAACAGAAUUACAAGAAAAGUAUUUUUCUUACCUAUUAUCGCCUUUUGAGGGAUGUGGAAGCUCAAACUCGUAGGCAGGCGUAGUUAGAAAAAGCAAUGGUGAUGGCGGUGAUUUGAAUUUUUUAUGGAGGUUCUCGGGGGCUCUUCACUCCAGGAGGUUGAGUGACAAUGAGACCCCCCGCGAGGGCCCGGGGCUCGCCUUUUUAUACCGGAACUCCGUGUUUAAAAGCCCGCGAACAAUCUGCGAUGUGAUUGGCUGAUACGGAUAGCUUCAACCAAUUAGGGAAGACAAGUAGAGAAGCCAUUCAAAUGUUUCUAGCGUAUCAAAACCGGCCCGGAUCCGUGUGAGCACUUCAGCAAACUGCCAGAUUUUGUGCGGGUCCGUCUGAACAGGUGUUCCAGGUACAGUAUUUGUGCGGACGAAUAUUCGUCCGGAUCCGUGAGAACAGGGUCUUAGAUACACUGAGGAGGUCGAGGUAGCUAUAGUAUGGCUAACCACGCAUUCUUCCGCGCGAUGUGUAUGGUGAUGAUGGCCGUGAUGGUGGAAGUGCGCGGAUGCGAGAUGGCCAAGUACCGUUCUACCGCUAAAGUCAAGACCCCAGUUAUAAUUGAUCUCAGAGCCGAAGAGAGGACCUCGUAGACUCACUCGAUUGCCUCGGACGGCAGACCUCAAUCACGAGACAAUACGUCAUAAUAAGGAUCUGAUUUUUAAAGAGUAUUUUAUUAUGUAUACUUAUUUGAUAAUUAAACAGUGUUAGUGUGA
Molecule: long non-coding RNA, 2309 nt
Organism: Nematostella vectensis (starlet sea anemone)
Lineage: Eukaryota; Metazoa; Cnidaria; Anthozoa; Actiniaria; Edwardsiidae
Exons: 2
Source: RefSeq, a predicted model, not a curated record